Molecule: ribosomal RNA, 680 nt
Filed under: uncultured beta proteobacterium
Lineage: Bacteria; Pseudomonadati; Pseudomonadota; Betaproteobacteria
Description: bacterial SSU rRNA
Rfam family: Bacterial small subunit ribosomal RNA
Source: RNAcentral
AACGGCAGCACGGACUUCGGUCUGGUGGCGAGUGGCGAACGGGUGAGUAAUGUAUCGGAACGUGCCCAGUAGCGGGGGAUAACUACGCGAAAGCGUAGCUAAUACCGCAUACGCCCUACGGGGGAAAGCAGGGGAUCGCAAGACCUUGCACUAUUGGAGCGGCCGAUAUCGGAUUAGCUAGUUGGUGGGGUAACGGCUCACCAAGGCGACGAUCCGUAGCUGGUUUGAGAGGACGACCAGCCACACUGGGACUGAGACACGGCCCAGACUCCUACGGGAGGCAGCAGUGGGGAAUUUUGGACAAUGGGGGAAACCCUGAUCCAGCCAUCCCGCGUGUGCGAUGAAGGCCUUCGGGUUGUAAAGCACUUUUGGCAGGAAAGAAACGUCGCGGGUUAAUACCCCGCGGAACUGACGGUACCUGCAGAAUAAGCACCGGCUAACUACGUGCCAGCAGCCGCGGUAAUACGUAGGGUGCAAGCGUUAAUCGGAAUUACUGGGCGUAAAGCGUGCGCAGGCGGUUCGGAAAGAAAGAUGUGAAAUCCCAGAGCUUAACUUUGGAACUGCAUUUUUAACUACCGGGCUAGAGUGUGUCAGAGGGAGGUGGAAUUCCGCGUGUAGCAGUGAAAUGCGUAGAUAUGCGGAGGACACCGAUGGCGAAGGCAGCCUCCUGGGAUAACACU